UCCGUAGGUGAACCUGCGGAAGGAUCAUUGUCGAAGCCUAGAAAGCACGACCGCGAAUGACUUUAUAAUCGGGGAAGCGUUGAGAGUCUUCGGGCUAAUAAGCGCAACCUUGUUUGGCUGGCGAGAAGACUUGCGCUACUCGUCUGUCGAAAUAAACAACCCGGCGCGGAAAGCUGCCAAGGAAUCAAUACUGAAAAGAACUGGGCUCUCAAACUCGUUAUUGGGAUUUGAGGGUCAUGUCUAUUCAGAAAAUAUCAUAACGACUCUCGGCAACGGAUAUCUCGGCUCUCGCAUCGAUGAAGAACGUAGCAAAAUGCGAUACUUGGUGUGAAUUGCAGAAUCCCGUGAAUCAUCGAGUCUUUGAACGCAAGUUGCGCCCGAAGCCUUUAGGUUGAGGGCACGUCUGCCUGGGCGUCAUGCACUGCGAUGCCCCAAUCAAUUUUAUGGAGCGAAUCAUGGCCUCCCGUAAUGUCUAACUUGCGGAUGGCUUAAAAAAGAGCCUCGAGACGGAAUAUUGUCGCGACAAGUGGUGGUUAAGAGGCCUCGGUCUUACAACUUAGCAUGUCACAACCCCUCCGCUCUAGUGCUUUUAAAAACCUUAGUCGAAGCGUGCCCAUGACGCCUUUAGCAUCGUGACCCCAGGUCAGGCGGGACUACCCGCUGAGUUAA
This 669-nucleotide ribosomal RNA is filed under the name Sedum japonicum subsp. oryzifolium. Its description in RNAcentral is "eukaryotic LSU rRNA". The stretch from base 262 to 417 matches the Rfam family "5.8S ribosomal RNA". The record is from RNAcentral. Lineage: Eukaryota; Viridiplantae; Streptophyta; Magnoliopsida; Saxifragales; Crassulaceae.